Molecule: ribosomal RNA, 253 nt
Filed under: uncultured bacterium
Lineage: Bacteria
Description: partial 16S ribosomal RNA
Rfam family: Bacterial small subunit ribosomal RNA
Source: RNAcentral
GACAUAGGUGGCGAACGUUAUCCGGAUUUAUUGGGCCUAAAGCAUCCGUAGCCGGUUCUACAAGUCUUCCGUUAAAUCCACCUGCUCAACAGAUGGGCUGCGGAAGAUACUAUGGAGCUAGGAGGCGGGAGAGGCAAGCGGUACUCGAUGGGUAGGGGUAAAAUCCGUUGAUCCAUUGAAGACCACCAGUGGCGAAGGCGGCUUGCCAGAACGCGCUCGACGGUGAGGGAUGAAAGCUGGGGGAGCAAACCGG